UAUUUUUUUAUAAAUUAUGUUUUUGUUUAUUUAAAAAAUUAAGAAAAAUAAUUUUGUUUUUAGUAUUUUUAAGAAAAAAAUUCUUUUUUUAUAUAUUUAGUACUGUGAAGGAAUUAAUUAAUUUAAUUUGAAUUAGCUAUUUUUAGUGUACCUUUUGUAUCAGGGUUUAUUAAAUUUUAUAAUUUAUUUUUAUUUUCUCGAAAUUUUAAGAUUUAUAUUAAUAUGUUAAUUUAUGUAGUAAUAUGUUUAAUAAUGUUAAUAUAGUGAAUAUAUUUUAUUCAAUUAAAAAUAUCUAGUUUUUUGAUAAUUGGGUUUAAUCCAUAAGUAGGUGUAUAAAUACUUAUAUUUAGACUUACUUAUAUUUAAAAAAGGAUAAGCUUUUUUAAAUAUCUAUAAAAAGUUAUUUAUGUAUUUAUUGUAGGAUUAAUAAUAUCCAUCUUUUAUUUUGUAAAAAUUAUUUUUAUGGAAAUUUUUAUUUUUUAUUUUUUUAGAUUUAUAUCAAAAUAAUAAAUUUAAUUUAUAUGUUUUUGAAAAAAUGAUAAAAUUAGUAUAUUUUUAAAAUGAAUUAUAGUAAUUCGGCAAAUAUAAUUUUCACCUGUUUAACAAAAACAUGGUCUUUUGUUUAUAUAAAAGAUCUGGCCUGCCCAAUGAUUAUUUUAAUGGCUGCAGUAUUUUGACUGUACAAAGGUAGCAUAAUCACUUGUCUUUUAAUUGAAGUCUGGUAUGAAUGGUUAGAUGAAAAAUUUACUUUCUUUAUUUUAUAGAUAAAAAUUGAUUUCUUGAUUAAAAAGUCUAGAUGUAUUUAUAGGACGAGAAGACCCUAUAGAGCUUAACUCCCCUUGUUUUAAUUAUUUACUUGUAAAUAAUUUUUUAUUAUUUUAAGGGGAGUUUUAUUGGGGUGAUAAAAAAAAUCUUUUAACUUUUUUUACUUUUCCCAUUUAUUUAUGGAUUUUUGAUCCUUUAUUAAGGAUAAAAAGAUUAAGUUACCUUAGGGAUAACAGCGUUAUUAUUUUAGAGAGUUCAUAUUAAUAAAAUAGUUUGCGACCUCGAUGUUGGAUUAAAAUUAGUGUCAGGGGUAUAAUAUUGAUUACUAGGUCUGUUCGACCUUUAAAUUUUUACAUGAUCUGAGUUCAGACCGGCGUGAGCCAGGUCGGUUUCUAUCCUUAAAUUUUUAAAAAAGUUUAGUACGAAAGGACCAAUUUUUUGAAAUAUUUUUUGUUGUUUUGACUUGAAUU
RNAcentral lists this ribosomal RNA (1235 nucleotides) under Insulaphylus sp. ph6. RNAcentral describes it as "16S ribosomal RNA". The stretch from base 808 to 1163 matches the Rfam family "Archaeal large subunit ribosomal RNA", at positions 2155 to 2712 of the family's 2987-position model. The record is from RNAcentral. Lineage: Eukaryota; Metazoa; Arthropoda; Insecta; Hemiptera; Miridae.